RNAcentral lists this ribosomal RNA (254 nucleotides) under uncultured bacterium. RNAcentral's name for it is "partial 16S ribosomal RNA". It matches the Rfam family "Bacterial small subunit ribosomal RNA", at positions 524 to 776 of the family's 1533-position model. The record is from RNAcentral.
UACGGGGGGGGGCAAGCGUUGUUCGGGAAUUACUGGGCGUAAAGGGCUCGUAGGCGCCAACUAAGUCAGACGUGAAAUCCCUCGGCUUAACCGGGGAACUGCGUCUGAUACUGGUUGGCUUGAAUCCGGGAGAGGGAUGUGGAAUUCCAGGUGUAGCGGUGAAAUGCGUAGAUAUCUGGAGGAACACCGGUGGCGAAGGCGGCAUCCUGGACCGGUAUUGACGCUGAGGAGCGAAAGCCAGGGGAGCAAACGGG